UGGCUGAGUGCUGCAGGCGG
Molecule: unclassified non-coding RNA, 20 nt
Filed under: Chlamydomonas reinhardtii
Lineage: Eukaryota; Viridiplantae; Chlorophyta; Chlorophyceae; Chlamydomonadales; Chlamydomonadaceae
Description: small RNA Cre_3341
Source: RNAcentral